CACGUAGGGUGCGAGCGUUGUCCGGAAUUAUUGGGCGUAAAGAGCUCGUAGGCGGUGUGUCGCGUCGGCCGUGAAAACCUGCAGCUUAACUGUGGGCGUGCGGUCGAUACGGGCAUCACUGGAGUUCGGCAGGGGAGACUGGAAUUCCUGGUGUAGCGGUGAAAUGCGCAGAUAUCAGGAGGAACACCGGUGGCGAAGGUGGGUCUCUGGGCCGAUACUGACGCUUAGGAGCGAAAGCGUGGGGAGCGAACAGG
This 254-nucleotide ribosomal RNA is filed under the name uncultured bacterium. RNAcentral's name for it is "partial 16S ribosomal RNA". It matches the Rfam family "Bacterial small subunit ribosomal RNA", at positions 524 to 776 of the family's 1533-position model. The record is from RNAcentral.